RNAcentral lists this ribosomal RNA (205 nucleotides) under uncultured bacterium. Its description in RNAcentral is "partial 16S ribosomal RNA". It matches the Rfam family "Bacterial small subunit ribosomal RNA", at positions 570 to 774 of the family's 1533-position model. The record is from RNAcentral.
CGCAGGCGGUCGUUCAAGUCGAGUGUGAAAGCCCCCGGCUCAACUGGGGAGGGUCACUCGAUACUGAUCGACUCGAAGGCAGGAGAGGGAAGUGGAAUUCCCGGUGUAGUGGUGAAAUGCGUAGAUAUCGGGAGGAACACCAGUGGCGAAGGCGACUUCCUGGCCUGUUCUUGACGCUGAGGCGCGAAAGCUAGGGGAGCAAACG